AACCAUAGAAACCUGCGGAGUACCUGCGGAGGGAUCAUUAGUGAACGCCCUCACGGGCUUAUAACUAUUCCAAACCUCUGUGAACCGUGCCCUUCGGGGCUAUUUUACAAACAUGGUGUAAUGAACGUCAUAUAUCAUAACAAAACAAAACUUUUAACAAUGGAUCU
This 167-nucleotide unclassified non-coding RNA is filed under the name soil metagenome. Its description in RNAcentral is "partial contains 5.8S ribosomal RNA, internal transcribed spacer 2, and large subunit ribosomal RNA". The record is from RNAcentral.